UAGCGGCGAGCGAAACGGGAAGAGCCCAAACCAACAAGCUUGCUUGUUGGGGUUGUAGGACACUCUAUACGGAGUUACAAAGGACGACAUUAGACGAAUCAUCUGGAAAGAUGAAUCAAAGAAGGUAAUAAUCCUGUAGUCGAAAAUGUUGUCUCUCUUGAGUGGAUCCUGAGUACGACGGAACACGUGAAAUUCCGUCGGAAUCUGGGAGGACCAUCUCCUAAGGCUAAAUACUCUCUAGUGACCGAUAGUGAACCAGUACCGUGAGGGAAAGGUGAAAAGCACCCCGGAAGGGGAGUGAAAUAGAACCUGAAACCGUGUGCUUACAAGUAGUCAGAGCCCGUUAAUGGGUGAUGGCGUGCCUUUUGUAGAAUGAACCGGCGAGUUACGAUUUGAUGCAAGGUUAAGCAGUAAAUGUGGAGCCGUAGCGAAAGCGAGUCUGAAUAGGGCGUUUAGUAUUUGGUCGUAGACCCGAAACCAGGUGAUCUACCCUUGGUCAGGUUGAAGUUCAGGUAACACUGAAUGGAGGACCGAACCGACUUACGUUGAAAAGUGAGCGGAUGAACUGAGGGUAGCGGAGAAAUUCCAAUCGAACCUGGAGAUAGCUGGUUCUCUCCGAAAUAGCUUUAGGGCUAGCCUCAAGUGAUGAUUAUUGGAGGUAGAGCACUGUUUGGACGAGGGGCCCCUCUCGGGUUACCGAAUUCAGACAAACUCCGAAUGCCAAUUAAUUUAACUUGGGAGUCAGAACAUGGGUGAUAAGGUCCGUGUUCGAAAGGGAAACAGCCCAGACCACCAGCUAAGGUCCCAAAAUAUAUGUUAAGUGGAAAAGGAUGUGGCGUUGCCCAGACAACUAGGAUGUUGGCUUAGAAGCAGCCAUCAUUUAAAGAGUGCGUAAUAGCUCACUAGUCGAGUGACACUGCGCCGAAAAUGUACCGGGGCUAAACAUAUUACCGAAGCUGUGGAUUGUCCUUUGGACAAUGGUAGGAGAGCGUUCUAAGGGCGUUGAAGCAUGAUCGUAAGGACAUGUGGAGCGCUUAGAAGUGAGAAUGCCGGUGUGAGUAGCGAAAGACGGGUGAGAAUCCCGUCCACCGAUUGACUAAGGUUUCCAGAGGAAGGCUCGUCCGCUCUGGGUUAGUCGGGUCCUAAGCUGAGGCCGACAGGCGUAGGCGAUGGAUAACAGGUUGAUAUUCCUGUACCACCUAUAAUCGUUUUA
This 1213-nucleotide ribosomal RNA is filed under the name Staphylococcus aureus. RNAcentral's name for it is "partial 23S ribosomal RNA". It matches the Rfam family "Bacterial large subunit ribosomal RNA", at positions 244 to 1461 of the family's 2925-position model. The record is from RNAcentral. Lineage: Bacteria; Bacillati; Bacillota; Bacilli; Caryophanales; Staphylococcaceae.